This 253-nucleotide ribosomal RNA is filed under the name uncultured bacterium. RNAcentral's name for it is "partial 16S ribosomal RNA". It matches the Rfam family "Bacterial small subunit ribosomal RNA", at positions 524 to 776 of the family's 1533-position model. The record is from RNAcentral.
UACGUAGGAGACGAGCGUUGUCCGGAAUUACUGGGCGUAAAGCGCGCGUAGGCGGCUUUGUAAGUUAGAGGUGAAAGCCCGGAGCUCAACUCCGGAACUGCCUUUAAAACUGCAUCGCUUGAAUCCAGGAGAGGUGAGUGGAAUUCCGAGUGUAGAGGUGAAAUUCGUAGAUAUUCGGAAGAACACCAGUGGCGAAGGCGGCUCACUGGACUGGUAUUGACGCUGAGGUGCGAAAGCGUGGGGAGCAAACAGG